This 239-nucleotide ribosomal RNA is filed under the name Escherichia coli. RNAcentral describes it as "partial 23S ribosomal RNA". It matches the Rfam family "Bacterial large subunit ribosomal RNA", at positions 2704 to 2925 of the family's 2925-position model. Lineage: Bacteria; Pseudomonadati; Pseudomonadota; Gammaproteobacteria; Enterobacterales; Enterobacteriaceae. The record is from RNAcentral.
CAUCACUGGUGUUCGGGUUGUCAUGCCAAUGGCACUGCCCGGUAGCUAAAUGCGGAAGAGAUAAGUGCUGAAAGCAUCUAAGCACGAAACUUGCCCCGAGAUGAGUUCUCCCUGACUCCUUGAGAGUCCUGAAGGAACGUUGAAGACGACGACGUUGAUAGGCCGGGUGUGUAAGCGCAGCGAUGCGUUGAGCUAACCGGUACUAAUGAACCGUGAGGCUUAACCUUACAACGCCGAAG